UGGGGGUUGAAGCUGAUCACCUUGGGCAAACUAUGUCGCCUCUCUGUGCCUUAGUUGCAUCUUCUGUGACUGCCCCCGGGCCCCUCAUCACAGCUGAUUUCCUAGACUAGAUGUUGGGAGGGAGGCUGCUGAAGGGAGUAAGAAGAGGCAACUGCUAGGGAUAAUGAAGAGAGAGACAAAAACAGAUUAAAGCCGAUAAACUGAGUGCAAAUACCCUCAAAAGAGAAAGAAUCCCACAGUGUUUUGAGCCACUUAGCGUAAGGAAAACAAAAUCACGUGAACCCAAAGCUCUUGAGAAUGUGAGUAUUGUGGGUAGGAGGGUGUCAUCAGAAAACAGUUGAGAAAAGGCCUUUUGUUUUCCCUUGAUGUUUCCAGUAAGGAUGGGGAGCAGAAGCUAAAACCAACCGCUUCACAGUGGAAGCUGCUGUUUUGUGCAAAACUGACCAAAGGUUGGAAACCAGUCAUCAGCGGUGCUGGCAAAUGAAGAGACUUCUGGAUUGGGUGGGACACUUGCUGUGACUUCCAGUGAUGUACCGACCUCCCAGGACUGCUGUGGAGAUCCAGUGAGAUAACGUGUUCGCAGUGUGCAGCGUGGUCCCCAGCACAGAGUCAGUGCUGCGUGAGUGCCAAUCCCUCCCUUUUCUCUGCUCUUCCUGUCCAUCUGUCUCCCUCCACUUUUCCCCUCCUCCCCUCCCCCUCCUCUCCUCCCCCUCCCAUCUUCUCCCUCCCUCGCUGCCCCACCUUCCCUCACAGAACCCAGAGGAUCGCUGGCCCUCCUGCGCAUGGGCAGUCAGUGCCAGCUGGACCCCGAGUUGGAAGCUCCAGCUCCGAGCCAGGAAUCGGCCCCAAAACCUUCUCAGCUCUGUCGCCCGGACCAGCUCAGUGGCGUGGGCACUGCUCCCCCGGCUGAGAGCCCCCGGCUGUAACGCCCAGCUUCUCCUAGUGGAGUCGGGAAAAGGGAUCCUCAGUGUUGAGCGAGCUUCUAUCUCCUCCCUCAGUGUUUCUGCCGCAGAUACCCAGCUUUCCCUGCACCAUUCAUUGAAUAGACUAUUCUUUCAAUGGAGUGUUGUUGGCACCCUUGUUGAAAACUGACUGUAAAUAUAAGGAGACUGAGGAUUAAGUCUUCUCUCUUUUUGGGGGAGCUCAUUAUCAAUGACUGGAAGUUGUAAGGAAAAAGAUAUUGAUUCAUCCUGAGAAAACAUUUUUCUGAGAGUCAGCAUUGAAGAGGGUGACCACUGAAGAGGGUGAUCAUUGUUCGAGUGAGACGAGCCCCGUGUUGUACGGAGUCAGCAUCCCAGUCCUGGACACGGUACUGUGCUGCGUGGUGGGUGAGGCAGCGUGGCCACGCAGGGAACGAGGAUGCCGUGCCGUUGGGCUGUGCUCAGGCCUGGCUCGAUGAGUUUCACUGGAGGGAAUUGAUCUUACAGAAGAUGGACUUAACUCAGGCCUCUUCAGAAUGGACAAAUGAACCUGGAGAAAGACAGUCAAAUCUGUGCAGACAUUGAAGUCCACGUGAACGUGCUGUAUCCCUGAGCCAAAGAUUGGACAAGUAGGCAGCACUUCUUGAGGACAGAGGAGUGGUUUUUAAGGUUCUCCAAGAAUGAAUCCCAGGGAACCGGGAUGGCCAGUUGUCAAACUGUGACUUUGCUCUUUGGACGGUGUGCCCACCAAAGGAGAGGAAAACAAGUCUAAACUUACUUUCCAGUUGGAAAUGGAAUGGAGAGUUAACGUUGGAAGCCGGGAG
Camelus dromedarius (Arabian camel) is the source of this 1744-nucleotide long non-coding RNA. RefSeq lists it as uncharacterized. Lineage: Eukaryota; Metazoa; Chordata; Mammalia; Artiodactyla; Camelidae. The record is from RefSeq and is a predicted model, not a curated record. The transcript is spliced from 8 exons.